AAUAUGAUAUUCAAAUAUAAGCUUCUAACUUAAUAUUUAAACAGUGUAAAUCUGUUUAUAUUU
Molecule: transfer RNA, 63 nt
Filed under: Perga condei
Lineage: Eukaryota; Metazoa; Arthropoda; Insecta; Hymenoptera; Pergidae
Description: tRNA-Ser
Source: RNAcentral